AUCCAGCUGAUGAGUUCUAAAUAGGAUGAAAUGUACAUUUUGGAU
This 45-nucleotide non-coding RNA is filed under the name Schistosoma haematobium. RNAcentral also lists the same sequence under 1 other name. Lineage: Eukaryota; Metazoa; Platyhelminthes; Trematoda; Strigeidida; Schistosomatidae. The record is from RNAcentral.